UUUUUUGAGAGUUUGAUCCUGGCUCAGGAUGAACGCUGGCGGCGUGCCUUAAGCAUGCAAGUCGAACGAUUGAAACUUUGUAGCAAUACAGAGUGGAUCUAGUGGCAGACGGGUGAGUAAUACAUAGGAAUCUACCUCUUGGUGGGGAAUAGCUCGCCGAAAGGCGGGGUAAUACCGCAUACGAUCUACGGAUCAAAGACCUUUACCGGUCGCCGAGAGAGGAGCCUGUGUCCCAUCAGCUAGUUGGUAAGGUAAUGGCUUACCAAGGCUACGACGGGUAGGGGAUGUGAGAGCAUGAUCCCCCACAAGGACACU
RNAcentral lists this ribosomal RNA (315 nucleotides) under Candidatus Woesebacteria bacterium. RNAcentral describes it as "bacterial SSU rRNA". It matches the Rfam family "Bacterial small subunit ribosomal RNA", at positions 1 to 320 of the family's 1533-position model. The record is from RNAcentral. Lineage: Bacteria; Candidatus Woeseibacteriota.